GAAACUGCAUAAUUUGCAGAGUGAUGAGUGGUAUGGGUGCUAGCUCGCAUCUAGGCCUAUGGCACUGGCCAAAAUCUAUUGAAAAGCAUGGAAGAUCAUCAUAUGCCAUAUUUCAUGGAAGAGUAUGUAAGUCUGAGCCUUGAACGGCUACAUGUUCAGGGCACAAGAAGUACCCUUGAAAUCUCAGAAACUGUUGUUUUUUGAAAAGGAAGACAAUUAUCUUUCUGCAUCACUAUCAACAUAAGACAUUAUCAUAGAAGGAAAGUUGGUGAGGUUGGAGGAUGUGUCAAAGUGGGCAAGAACAUCCAGUUAACAGCCCAAGAUGGCAAAAAGCAACAUAGUCAUCAAGCGGAAAUCUUAGAGCAAGAGCAGAUGGGUGUCACUAAUGCUUUGAUUAAAUGGUAUAUUAUAGUUUGCUAAAAAUAGCCACGAGAUAAUGCAGCAGACCUAAGAUGAAAGAUAUAUUAGUUUAGUCAAAAGAAACGUUGUCCUCAUGCCUAAGAUGAAAUAUGCCUUCAUAAAUAGAUUUUUAUAGAUUUGUGUAUGUUAUAUAUUUUGAAUUAUGUUAGAGAUUUUGUAUUAUCAACAAUUUACUAGUUGAAUUGUAUAUAUAUAUAUAUUAGUUAUUAAUUCUAUUAAAAUGAGUUUUGCUA
Cannabis sativa is the source of this 653-nucleotide long non-coding RNA. RefSeq lists it as uncharacterized. The transcript is spliced from 3 exons. Lineage: Eukaryota; Viridiplantae; Streptophyta; Magnoliopsida; Rosales; Cannabaceae. The record is from RefSeq and is a predicted model, not a curated record.